AUGUCUAGAGCAGCAACUGAAACUUUGCUAAAGUCAAAAACACAAGCUAUUCCGACCUUCAUCGCCAGUUGUUUUCGGCUUCCAGUAGCUACGUGUGAAAAGUUCCACCAGAUUGUGGCCGAUCAAUGGUGGGGACGAGAAGAUGGGAAAAAGAAAAUUCACUGGCGUUCAUGGGAUUGGCUCUCGACACCUAAGUCCCUUGGGGGCAUGGGUUUCCGCGACAUGGGGUUGUUCAAUCAGGCGAUGCUUGGGAAGCAAGGGUGGAGACUUCUUACUGCUCCUCUUUCGCUCUGUGCGCGGGUUUUGAAGGGGAGGUAUUUUCCAAAUGGUGAUUUCUGGAACGCUUCGGCUCCUCGUACAACCUCAGCGACAUGGCGUGCGAUUCUGCAUGGUCGUGAUCUUCUGAAGAUGGGGAUUCAGUGGGGUAUUGGGGAUGGAAGGAGUACUCACAUUUUGACUGGCUAUUGGAUCCCCUCCAUCCCUCCUGCACUUCUCUGGCCUCUUUACCCCAUACCUGCUUCAGCCAAAGUCCACUGUUUGCUUGAUGAGGAAAGUGGGACUUGGAAUGAGGAGUCAGUGAGGGCCUUCUUCUCGGAUGAUGUGGCCAACAAAAUCCUCCAAGUUCCAAUCUGCAGCAUUGGCAGCUCUGAUUUUGCUCGCUGGCCAUUUACCAAACUGGGCGAGUACUCUGUUAAGUCUGCCUACAACAUGGCGAGGACGUCUGGCUUCCUGACAUCCCGCAGCUGCAAUGGUAAGGGCCAACACUCCGAGUGGCAUUCAGAGGAGAGAUUGUGGAAGGAGUUGUGGAAAGUCAAGGCUCCAAACAAAAUGAAGAUCGUGCUGUGGCGAUUUUCUCACAACUGCUUGCCUUCGGGUGAGCAAAUGCUUCGACGCCAGGUUCCGACGCGGACCGACUGUUGUUUCUGCGGCCAGUAG
Molecule: ribosomal RNA, 936 nt
Filed under: Triticum aestivum (bread wheat)
Lineage: Eukaryota; Viridiplantae; Streptophyta; Magnoliopsida; Poales; Poaceae
Description: partial small subunit ribosomal RNA
Source: RNAcentral